Molecule: ribosomal RNA, 253 nt
Filed under: uncultured bacterium
Lineage: Bacteria
Description: partial 16S ribosomal RNA
Rfam family: Bacterial small subunit ribosomal RNA
Source: RNAcentral
UACGUAGGGGGCAAGCGUUGUCCGGAUUUAUUGGGCGUAAAGAGCGUGUAGGCGGCCAGACAGGUCCGUUGUGAAAACUCGAGGCUCAACCUCGAGACGUCGAUGGAAACCGUUUGGCUAGAGUCCGGAAGAGGAGAGUGGAAUUCCUGGUGUAGCGGUGAAAUGCGCAGAUAUCAGGAAGAACACCCGUGGCGAAGGCGGCUCUCUGGGACGGUACUGACGCUGAGACGCGAAAGCGUGGGGAGCGAACAGG